UUACGGUCAAAUCACGCUGAAAACACCGGUUCUCGUUCGAUCACCGAAGUUAAGCAUCGUAAGGUCAGUACUUAGAUGGGGGACCGCUUGGGAACACCUGGUACUGUAAG
Non-coding RNA from Acanthosepion pharaonis, 110 nucleotides. The record is from the annotation of a GenBank genome assembly. NCBI's taxonomy places the organism in Eukaryota, Metazoa, Mollusca, Cephalopoda, Sepiida, Sepiidae.